This 456-nucleotide ribosomal RNA is filed under the name uncultured Thermotogales bacterium. RNAcentral's name for it is "bacterial SSU rRNA". It matches the Rfam family "Bacterial small subunit ribosomal RNA", at positions 325 to 795 of the family's 1533-position model. The record is from RNAcentral. Lineage: Bacteria; Thermotogati; Thermotogota; Thermotogae; Thermotogales.
AACGGGUCCUACUCCUACGGGAGGCAGCAGUGGGGAAUAUUGGACAAUGGGGGAAACCCUGAUCCAGCGACGCCGCGUGAACGAAGAAGUCCUUCGGGAUGUAAAGUUCUUUUAAAUGGGAAGAAGACAGUGACGGUACCAAUUGAAUAAGCCCCGGCUAACUACGUGCCAGCAGCCGCGGUAAGACGUAGGGGGCAAGCGUUACCCGGAAUCACUGGGCGUAAAGGGAGCGUAGGCGGUUAUGCAGGUCAUACGUUAAAGGAUCCGGCUCAACCGGAGAGAUGCAUAUGAAACCGUAUAACUUGAGGAUAUCAGAGGAAAAGGGAAUUACCAUUGUAGGGGUGAAAUCCGUAGAGAGUGGUAAGAAUGCCGGUGGCGAAGGCGCUUUUCCGGGGUAUACCUGACGCUGAGGCUCGAAAGCCAGGGGAGCGAACCGGAUUAGAUACCCGGGUAGUC